This 468-nucleotide ribosomal RNA is filed under the name uncultured bacterium. Its description in RNAcentral is "partial 16S ribosomal RNA". It matches the Rfam family "Bacterial small subunit ribosomal RNA", at positions 28 to 507 of the family's 1533-position model. The record is from RNAcentral.
GACGAACGCUGGCGGCGUGCUUAACACAUGCAAGUCGAACGGAAAGGCCCUGCUUUUGUGGGGUGCUCGAGUGGCGAACGGGUGAGUAACACGUGAGUAACCUGCCCUUGACUUUGGGAUAACUUUAGGAAACUGGGGCUAAUACCGGAUAGGAGCUCCUGCUGCAUGGUGGGGGUUGGAAAGUUUCGGCGGUUGGGGAUGGACUCGCGGCUUAUCAGCUUGUUGGUGGGGUAGUGGCUUACCAAGGCUUUGACGGGUAGCCGGCCUGAGAGGGUGACCGGCCACAUUGGGACUGAGAUACGGCCCAGACUCCUACGGGAGGCAGCAGUGGGGAGUAUUGCACAAUGGGCGGAAGCCUGAUGCAGCAACGCCGCGUGCGGGAUGACGGCCUUCGGGUUGUAAACCGCUUUCGCCUGUGACGAAGCGUGAGUGACGGUAAUGGGUAAAGAAGCACCGGCUAACUACGUG